Molecule: non-coding RNA, 28 nt
Filed under: Homo sapiens (human)
Lineage: Eukaryota; Metazoa; Chordata; Mammalia; Primates; Hominidae
Source: RNAcentral
UCUCUGGGUGCAUGCUGCUUUUAAGAGC